Molecule: ribosomal RNA, 603 nt
Filed under: uncultured fungus
Lineage: Eukaryota; Fungi
Description: eukaryotic LSU rRNA
Rfam family: Eukaryotic large subunit ribosomal RNA
Source: RNAcentral
ACCCGCUGAACUUAAGCAUAUCAAUAAGCGGAGGAAAAGAAACCAACAGGGAUUGCCCUAGUAACGGCGAGUGAAGCGGCAACAGCUCAAAUUUGAAAUCUGGCUCUUUUAGGGUCCGAGUUGUAAUUUGCAGAGGGCGCUUUGGCAUUGGCAGCGGUCCAAGUUCCUUGGAACAGGACGUCACAGAGGGUGAGAAUCCCGUACGUGGUCGCUAUCCUUCGCCGUGUAAAGCCCCUUCGACGAGUCGAGUUGUUUGGGAAUGCAGCUCUAAAUGGGAGGUAAAUUUCUUCUAAAGCUAAAUACUGGCCAGAGACCGAUAGCGCACAAGUAGAGUGAUCGAAAGAUGAAAAGCACUUUGGAAAGAGAGUCAAAUAGCACGUGAAAUUGUUGAAAGGGAAGCGCUUGCAGCCAGACUUGCCUGUAGUUGCUCAUCCGGGUUUUUACCCGGUGCACUCUUCUAUAGGCAGGCCAGCAUCAGUUUGGGCGGUUGGAUAAAGGUCUCUGUCAUGUACCUCUCUUCGGGGAGAACUUAUAGGGGAGACGACAUGCAACCAGCCCGGACUGAGGUCCGCGCAUCUGCUAGGAUGCUGGCGUAAUGGCUGU